Molecule: unclassified non-coding RNA, 1031 nt
Filed under: Hevea brasiliensis (rubber tree)
Lineage: Eukaryota; Viridiplantae; Streptophyta; Magnoliopsida; Malpighiales; Euphorbiaceae
Source: RNAcentral
AAAAAAAAAAAAAAAAUAGUCAAUCUCCUAGCAACAGGCGUAGUUCCUAAAGCCCAACAAAAUAAGGUCAAAGGCCCUAUAGUAACCUUAGGAGAAGGUGACUUGACAGGAAACAAGAGGAAGACCUCUACCCCGAUGAUAGCAAUGCAUGAUCGAUAAAAGAAGAUCACUGUCGAACAGAGGCCUCAUGCACAUCUUCUCACAUGAAGAGGGCCCCAAAACUUGGGAAAAGAAACAAUGGGAAACAAAAGCUACAAAACCAAAGUAGCCCGAAGAAGACAACAACAACUUAUGGCCAGAGCUCCAUGGCAUCCCAGAGCCUUAAGGGUCGCUAUCAAUGGCAUAGCCUAGCAUGCGACCCCAAGACAUAUACCAUCUUUAAAAUAAAAACUCUCUCACAAAUCAGCUCCUUUCCAAGAAGAACACUUCUAAAACCCUUUCCAAGAAGCACAUUCUACGAGAACAAAACAAAACAUAUAUACAAAUUCAGCUCCGAGGUGGGGAGAGAGAGACUCACGUUACUGGCAAGCAGAGAAUAAUCACCCUUCCCAAAAGGAGCAAAGAAGGCCGUAGUAUCUUGCAGAAAAUAAGAACUUAGCCUGAAAAAAAAAAAACGAAAGAUGAGAGGAUUUUCUUUCUCUAAAAAGCUAGAGAGACAUCCUCCACCACCCUUCAUCAGAUCUUUGACCUAGAACUAAAAUGAUCUCAUUCCUUAUUGUAAUGUCUUCCAUACAUUUAAAAUUUACUCAAAUGGUAUGCUCUAACUUGUCAUUUAAAAUUUAUUAUUUUCAAAAUUUAAAUUCAUAUGUAAAUUUACAUUAAAAUCAAAUUCUUUUAUUUUAGCUUAGUUAUACAAUUAGAGAUAAUAACGGGUAGGACACUCAUUAAAAUUUUCCUACUCAAAUUCAAACCCAAUUAGUAUUUUUUAUCAAACUCAUUCCAAAUUCAAUUAAAAUUAUUUGAAAUUAUUUCAAACCCAAUUAUUAUUACUCAAAUAAUAUCAAAACUCAUUUAGCUUUGCAUAUUUCAAU